AGUGAAGCGAGCAAGGCGCGAUGGACGGCCGAGUGCAGCUGAUCAAGGCCCUCCUGGCCCUGCCCAUUCGGCCCCAGACGCGUCGGUGGAGGAACCCGAUCCCCUUCCCCGAGACGUUUGACGGCGACACCGACCGGCUUCCGGAGUUUAUCGUGCAGACAGGCGCCUACAUGCUAGUGGACGAGACCCUGUUCACCAACGAUGCCCUGAAGGUGACGUUCCUCAUCACCCGGCUGACCGGGCCCGCCCUGCAGUGGGUGAUCCCCUACAUCAGGAAGCAGAGCCCCCUCCUCAACGAUUACCGGGGCUUCCUGGCCGAGAUGAAGCGGGUCUUUGGAUGGGUGGAGGACGAGGACUUCUAGACCGGGAGUCCCUCGGGCCUGGGGGCGGGUGCCCGGGGGAGGAUGCCCGGGGGAGGGUCCGCCGCGCCAGUCGCCGCCGCCCAGAUCGCCACAGGCGGCGUCCUCCCGCCGCGCCUCCCCUCUCCCUCGCCUUCGGGUCGCCGUGAUCUCCCCCGCGCUCGUGUCCCCUCCCGCGUAGUGCUUGCCUUUGUUCCAGGAAUAGCGCUCCAGGUUCCCGCUGCUGCCACCGCCAGGCCUGGCUCUGGAGCGGCCGCCGCCCUCUCGGGCCAGCCCGGCCCCUCCCCUGCACACUUAAACUCGGUCGUGCGCUCCAGCUGCAAGCCGGGCUCCUAUUACACAUCAGACAGACCACCCUCAGCCCGGCUGCUGCCAACCGCCCGCCCUCUGCCAGACUCCCAGGCCCGCAUACAGGUGCCCAGAGACCUGCGCUGCCGCUGCCGCCGCCACGGCCACUGCCAUCCACCGCAUCCCGCCGACAGCCUGCAGCCUUCAGCGGUCUGGACUCGCCCGGGAGGUGUCUGAGCUGGGCACAGCCUCUGGACAAUGCUUCCAACAGCUCGCCACCGCCCUGGAGGGGCUGGCCAGCCUUUCACCUUCGGCGGGAUCCAGUCCCUCCCUCCUCCUAGAGACAUCUUCUGCUCCUGCCAGGUGGCCGCCAGGUCCCAGGGGUGCCUGGCAGCCAAAUCGAGCCACUCGUUGUCUCCUGUGGACCUGUUCGUUUCGCCCAGAAUCCAGUUCUCUUCUGGAUGUGCAGUAUUUUCUUAGUUAUUGGUUUAUUGGUCAACAGUAUAACUUAUAUCUACCCAACUCCUCAACACUACUUGAACAAAACUCUUUUCUUAUUUUCAAUAAACGUCAGACACUAUU
RNAcentral lists this long non-coding RNA (1229 nucleotides) under Phocoena sinus (vaquita). RNAcentral describes it as "lncRNA (ENSPSNG00000010771.1)". The record is from RNAcentral. Lineage: Eukaryota; Metazoa; Chordata; Mammalia; Artiodactyla; Phocoenidae.